UCUGCAACUACUACAGAAUGACGCCGCAGCUUUUCGAUAAGCUGUUAAACUUUGUGGCUGCAGACCUGACCCGGCUGCAGUUAAUCAGGGAGCUCUUGGAGCCUGGAGAGCGGCUGGCGAUGACAUUGAGACGGUGUGCUGAAAACGUGUUCGGGAUCACAGCAGCAAGGUGGCGGAUCCUACUGCGGACCAUUAAUGUGAUCCCCACAAACAUGGACUUUGUUGUCAAGGCAUAACUUGCAUAACUUCCUAACUGUACUCAAUCCACAGUCUGACAAAUACAGAGAUCAAGAGGAUAAGUUUGGAAACUUUGUAGCAGGACACUCGCGUGAAAGCAUCCAAGCUGCAUCGGGGGCGACAUAAUACAGCAAUUUUUCCCCCUUCAAUCAACACGAUCAAGGAAUUAUGACAGUAAAGCUGCACAUGCCAGGAACCUCUUCGCAGCCUAUUUUCGCAGCAAAGUAGGUGAAGUUCCAUGGCAGUGGCACCAACCAGGUGCUUCCAAAGAAGGUGCUUUGAAGCGUCUACGUGAGCAGCAGUUCUACCAGCUACAAUGAUGGGGAGCACUUCCUCAAAAGAGCGAAAGCCACAUAAUGGGGCUUCAUAACAGUCAUUCAUAAUUGCUGUUCACUGCAGCUUACUAAUCGUGCUGUUUACGUAUCAAUUUUGUGGCACCUGUGCAAGAAAAAAAUGUGUUAAUAAUGUGUUCAUCGAUGUUGUGAAGUGUGUAGUCUAUCUGCUUGAAGGUAACUGGAGGUUUGAUUUGAACUGUGGUAUUCAUGACCAUCGAAACCGUAAACAUUUCAUUUCCAAGCACAAAAAAAUACAGCGGCAUUUAUUUAAGCAUACCGAGCUACUGCUGGCUCGACAGGUAGGGCCGUUCGAACCAGCCAAGCUGCUGCGAAUGCAACUAUCGCUCCCCGUUCGAUCCAUUGCUGUUCGCCUGAAGUGGCAGGCCACAACUAUGCUGUUGCGAAGAGUAUUGCAUAUGCAAGCAUUGAUGAGAUAGAAUGUAUCCCAUUAUGUAAGCAGGGCUUCAAAUAGGAAAAUAAAAGUACCUAUAAAUAAGUGCAAAUUGAACACAAACUUAUUCAAAACAACGACAUAAAAAUAUCAGUGGCAGUGUGCAGUGUGCAAUAUCAGUGUGCAGCAUCACAAUAAAAUGCAACAUAAAAAAGUAAAUACUUGAGAAGUGAGAGAUCAACAUGCUGUAAUACAGAAUUGAACACAUUGAAAAAAAUUAAGAAUAAUAGUACGAGUACCUGGUGGAAUGCAGUAUUAGCACUGCAGACAUUUACUUGGUUACCAUAACUUGGCUAUUGAGAAGAUUAUUGCACCGGUCGACGACACAUUAAAUAUAAAAGUAAAAAUAAAUAUACAAAAGUAAGGAAACAAACAUACUCGGAAAACAUGCUGUCUUGAUGGGCUGGUUUGUAGUAUCACUGGACCUUCAUUGUGCAGACAGCACAUGGACGAGCAAAAUGAACAGAUAGUGUAAACAUUGCACCUUUGUUAUGUUUCUUUUCUUUGCCGAUGUGUGAUCGGUACUCUGAAGCUGCAGUGAGAAGGUGCUCAGUAUGAUAAAAAGGAAAAAAGUUCAUUCCUAAAUGACGUUCAAAACCCUGAUGUACAUGUCCGUUUGUCUUUCUGUUCUCACUCGUUUCAUAAGUGGAACAAGUGCCAUUGCAAACUGCUCGAUGUAAUCUCUUGGCUUUGUUGUUUCAAGAGCAGGGAAGAAGUUUGGGCGUGUUGGUAGGAUACAUACAAACUGGGAUACAUAGCGCAAGAAAGACACAGGGACAAGCUCCUGUUCCGCUCUUCUGGGACAUUGCUUCAUUGUAGCAGCAUCAGAAUUUGUCGCGAAGCGACUUCUACUGGUUUUGCAUGGCGGUGACACCAUCUGUGCAAAGUAGUAGCUCCAUUUUACAAAAAUUUCGCAAGCAACUGCGCAGAAUUCAAGCACGCUUACCUUACACACCGGGCAGAACUAUCGCUGCUUGUCCCUGUGUCUUUCUUGCGCUAUGUAUCCCAGUUCGUAUGUUUCAAGAGCACUGGUGGCAUGCUGAAGCUGCUGCACCAACAAAUCAUCUGCAUUUGCUUUUCUUUUUCUGAUCAUAGGCGUGCCGGACGACGUUACUGAGUACACCUGUGCACGAGGUGCAGGCGUUGCCGCUGGCGGCGCUGACACCUCUAUCACCACCACAUCCCCCUCCUCCUUCUGCACCUGCAGGUACUUCUCAUGGCCAAAGUGGCACAUGUCAAAGAGCUCUGCAGCAGUGGGCCCUUCCUUCAGGUUGUUUUGGCUUGCUGCAACAGGUUCCUGCUGGCUCAGCAUUUGGAAGUUUCCUGAUGUGCUGAUACAUUUGAAGAAUGAAAUGUUCGUUGUAGAUACUUAUCCUUA
Long non-coding RNA from Dermacentor andersoni, 2401 nucleotides. RefSeq lists it as uncharacterized. Lineage: Eukaryota; Metazoa; Arthropoda; Arachnida; Ixodida; Ixodidae. The record is from RefSeq and is a predicted model, not a curated record.